CGACUGCGACCCCAGGUCA
RNAcentral lists this ribosomal RNA (19 nucleotides) under Paranephelius uniflorus. Its description in RNAcentral is "partial 26S ribosomal RNA". Lineage: Eukaryota; Viridiplantae; Streptophyta; Magnoliopsida; Asterales; Asteraceae. The record is from RNAcentral.